UACGGAGGGCGCAAGCGUUGUUCGGAAUUACUGGGCGUAAAGCGCGUGUAGGCGGUCUGGUAAGUCGGUUGUGAAAUCCCCGGGCUCAACCCGGGAACUGCAUCCGAAACUUCCAGGCUAGAGUUUCGGAGAGGAAGGCAGAAUUCCCAAUGUAGGGGUGAAAUCCGUAGAUAUUGGGAGGAAUACCAGUGGCGAAGGCGGCCUUCUGGACGAUGACUGACGCUGAGACGCGAAAGCGUGGGGAGCAAACAGG
RNAcentral lists this ribosomal RNA (253 nucleotides) under uncultured bacterium. Its description in RNAcentral is "partial 16S ribosomal RNA". It matches the Rfam family "Bacterial small subunit ribosomal RNA", at positions 524 to 776 of the family's 1533-position model. The record is from RNAcentral.